RNAcentral lists this long non-coding RNA (18504 nucleotides) under Nicotiana tabacum (common tobacco). RNAcentral describes it as "long non-coding RNA (NTAB_LNC008340)". The record is from RNAcentral. Lineage: Eukaryota; Viridiplantae; Streptophyta; Magnoliopsida; Solanales; Solanaceae.
GGUCCUAUAAAACCCAAAUAACCAUUCGAGUACUGAACAUAGGCCGACAAGGCCAUGGAAUCUUUUAUGUACAUGACAUCUUUAUACAAGCCUCUAAGAACACAUAAUAUUCAUAAAGGUCGGGACAGAGUCCCACCAUACCAAGCAAUACACGUCUAAAUUAGUCUAACCAAACAAGCAACUCCGAAGUAAAUGGAGCACACCAACAUCUUCCACUGAGGUGAUAGCCUACUUGGAGGGCUCUCGACCUGUCUAAUAGGACCUGCGGGCAUGAAACGUAGCGUCCCCAAGCAAAAAAGGACGUCGGUCAAAAUAAUGUAACGAGUAUUUAGGGCACAUAAAUAGGUACAUAACAGACAUGGAAGAAAUAUAGAGUAAGUGACUCAACCUGUAAGUCUUUAUAAUUCUGUAAAUCAUGAAAUACUUAUAGUUUCAUGCAUGUGCAUAUAAGUGUCAGGUCGUGCAUAGGUACAUGUGUUCAUAAUAUCAUGAAGCCUCUUGUAACAACUCGACCGGUCAUUUUGAGCUUUUGCACUCCGCUCGCCUGUUCUCGAGCAUGACUAGCACUGUGUGAUGUAUUAUGACUUAUGCAAAUCAUCGUUUUUGGUUUUCAGGGUAAUCAGAAUGGAUUUGGAAGAACAGUUCUUAGUUUGAAGCUUAAAAUUUGAAAGGUUUGACCAAGUUUUGACUUGUUAGUAUAUGAUCUCAAAUUGUAAUUUUUAUGAUUUGUUUAGCUCCAUUAGGUGAUUUGGGACUCAGGAGCGUGAUCAGAAUGUAUUUCGGAGGUCUGCGGAAGGUUUAGGCUUGAAUUAGCGAAAUUGGAAUUUUGGCGUUUUCCUGUUGAUAGGUGAGAUUUUGAUAUAGGAGUCAGAAUGGAAUUCUGUAAGUUGGAGUAGGCCUGUUGUGUCAUUUGUGAUGUGUGUACAAAAUUUCAGGUUAUUCAGACGAGGUUUGAUAGACUUUUUGAUCGAAAGCGGAAUUUGGAAGUCUUUGGAAUUCUUAGGCUUGAAUCCGUUGAUGAUUUGAUGUUUUGAUGUUGAUUUGAGCGUUCCGAAGGUUGGAACAAGUUUGAAUAAUGAUAUGGGAUAUGUUGACAUGUUUUGUUGAGGUCCCGAGGGCCUUGGGUGAGUUUCGGGUGGUUAACGGAUCAAUUUUUGGACUUUGAACUUGGCAGUUUUGCUGGUUUUUGUUGCAGAGAUUUUUGUUCAUCGUGUUCGCCGAGGGUGCAUCGUGUUCGCGAAGGAUGUUUUCUAUGAUGAUGAUUUUUUUCUAUGUGUUCGCGAAGGAGAGUACGCGAACGCGAAGGUGAAGGCAACAUGUGCAUCGCGGACGCGUGAUUGGGGUCGCAUUCGCGAAGAAGAGUGAGGUCGUUGGGCACCCCAGGCCCUUGUGCUAUGCGUUCGCGAGAUUAGUAACGUGUUCACAAAAGGCUGGAUUGGCGAAGCAUCGCGUUCGCAUGGCAGAGUCCGCGUUCACGAAGGGAAAAGUUGAGACGGAGUGUAGUUUGGUCUACGCGAACGUGAGAGGCCGGUCGUGUGCUCGAAGAAGGAAAUUUUACCUGGGACAGAAUGUUUAAAAGUGGGUUUCGCGAUUUUUGGUCUAUUUUCUCCGUUGUUGAGCGAUUUUUGGAGCUUUUGAGAAAGAUUGAAGAGGGAAUCAAAGGGAAACACUUGGAGGUAAGAUUUUUCAACUCAAUACUCGAUCCAAUGUUGAUUCUUACUUGUUCAAACAUGAAAUUUGUGGAAUUUAAAGCCUAAAAUUGGGGAAUUAGUGCUUGAAAUUGGAGAGUGUAAAUUGGGGAUUUAAGGGGCCAUUUGAGGUUUGAUUUAGAUGUUCUUUGUAUGUAUGGACUCGUGAGAGGAUAAGGAUUUUAUUGAUGUGAUUUUUAUCGGAUUCCGAGACAUGGGCCCGGGGGUCAGGUUUGGCCAAUUUCAGAAUUUUUGAUGUAAAUUGGUUAUUUCGAUUGGGCUUUGCUCCCUUAGCAUAUUUUGAUGGUAUAAAUCUGUAUUUGGUUAGAUUUGGAGUAUUUGGAGACCGAGUCGAGAGGAAAAGGCAUCGCAUGCUAGAGUUUGGACCGGAUUGAAAUAAGUAAUGAUUGUAAAUGUUUGUCCUGAGGGUAUGAAACCCUGAAUUUCACAUCGUUAUGCUACUUUGAGGUGACGCAUGCGCUAGUUGACGAGCGUGGGGUCAUGCACCAUUGGGGAUACUAACUUAGUCCAUCACGUACGACUGUUAAGUCACGUAUUUGAUUAAAACUUGUUUGAUAUCAGUGUGUUUUGGAAAGUAUUAUCAUGUUUUGGGUUGAAUGCCAUAUUUGGGCCUUGUGCCAACUGUUUUGGACCCUUAGGGGAUUUUUACUACUGUUCCUCAUUGUUUUGAAUUCAUAUUUGUACUCAGUCAUACUGUAUUCUACUAUUUUCAUAACUCAUUCAUUUUUACUUUAUUUUUUAUAUUUUCAAUGAUAUUUUGGGUUGAGCAUCAUGUUUUGUUGUUGACCGAAUGGCUUGAGAGAUUUCUGACUGAGUGAGGCCGAUGGCCUGUGUUGUGAGUAUAUUAUGGGAUUGGGCUACGCGCCGCAACAAUAUGGUAAUGAUUUAUGAUUGUGAGGCUGAUGGCCUAAUUUGUUAUGCCACGAGGUGGCUUGUUAUAAGGCCGAGUGCCUGUUUGAUUAUGCCACGAGAUGGCUUGAUAUUACGCUUGGGAUAUAAGGGCCCCUUCCAAAGUCUGUACACCCCUAGUGAGCGCGAGUACCCAUUGUGAGUGAUGUGAUGUAGCCCGAGGAGCUUUUGUCGAUUCAUAUUGUUGCCCGAGGGGCUAUUGUUGGUUCAUAUUGUUGCCCAAGGGGCGUUUCUUGAUUCAUGUUAUGCCCGAGGGGAUGAUUACGAGUGAUUGUGAGGUAUCCCGAGGGGCUGGUUCUGUUGAUAUUAUGCCCGAGGAGCGAUUUAUGAUACAUGUUCUGCCCGAGGGGCUGUUUACGUUUUCUAUCAUUUACAUUCACUAUUUUAUCACUCAUUUGAAAUUAUUGAAAGUUGUUUUAAAAGAUUUUUACUGAAACUGAGCUUGAUUUACGAAGUAAAUGAUUUGUGUACUACUUUGGAAAUGAUCUACAUUUGUUGUAGUGUUAUGACGUGGUUACGUGUUUUCUUGCUGCUCAACUUUCAUUUACUUUUAUUACUUACUGAUUUGGCAUACUCACAUUACUCCCUGCAUCUUGUGUGUAGAUUUUGGUGUUUCUGAACCCGGUAGCAGGUGUUGAUUGCCCAGUGGCAGAGUCAUCAGAGUUAGCAAGGUAGAUGCCCGACGUUCGCAACAUUGCUUUUCUCCCUCUUGUCUUCCUUAGAUUGUAUUUAGCACAUUUUUGACUCUUCGUUGUAUUCGGACCUUAGUAGAUGCUCGUAACUUGUGACACCCCGAUGUCGGGCUUGUGUAUUUAUUCCGCACUGUUUAUUUAAACUUUUAUUAUGAAAUAUUGGAAUAAUUAAAGGCUUAAAAAUGAUUGCCAAUAAUUAAAUGGUUAAUUCGGGAGUUGCGUCGGUUGGCCUAGUUUCACGAUAGGUGCCAUCACGACCGGGCCGGUUUUAGGGUCGUGACAAGUUGGUAUCAGAGCCUAGGUUACAUAGGUCUCACGAGUCAUGAGCAAGUUUAGUAGAGUCUCGCAGAUCGGUACGGAGACGUCUAUGCUUAUCCUCGGGAGGUUGCAUAACCUUUAGAAAAAACUUCCCAUUCUUGAAUUCUUAUUGUGCGUCCUUGAUUCAGAUUGAAAUGUAACUCUUUGAAUUCCUUCCACCCGUUCAUAUGCGCAUAUGAGCGCUCGACAUCCGCUUUGCAUUGACGAUUUGUGAUUCACUGAUCGAGGGGCGAGGUGUGAUCUCUGUGUGUUGAUGUUGGGCCAGUCUACAGGACUUGAGGCUGGGUUUUGCCUAUAGCUUGAGCACUAAGGUGUUGAUUGUGUGUGCACGUGAUUUUGGAUUUGUAUGUCCGAUAGUGUCCCUAUUAGUGGGAGUGAUAACUGGAUAGCUAUGUGAGGACUAUGAUGUGACUGCGAGAUGUGUACAUAUGAUUUGAACGAGACAAGAAGGGUCUACUUGGGGGUACUAAGAACUAUCUAGUGCUUGAUUCCCAUCAUGAUUUGAUGUAUAGCCCGAGUUGUAGGCUUUUUGAAGGAUCUUUUCAUGUUUCCUAGUUGGGAAGUGAAGUAGAUUUCAGGUUGUGAUAUGAGUUGUAACUCAGGAAGAUUAAGUGAUCGCAUAAUGUUUAUGACGGUGGAAGGGUAUAAAUAGAUGUUAGUUUGAGGCAAAGCAGGUGGGUUAUCUCCUGCGGAGUGUUCUGAUGUUUGUGUGAUCCUUAUGUUGUUGUUGGAGGAUCUCCUUUACUAGUGAGAUAUACACGUGUUGUAAUUUGAAUUUGGGUUUCUUAAGAGAGUGGGCUUGACUGUUACGAGGGUGAAUGCGAGAUUUGCAGAAGAUUUAAAGUACUAGAUGGUCUGUGUUUCACGAGCUUAUAAAGGAUUGAGUUUAAUCUUACUAUGGUAUUAUGGCAGUAAUAGAGUAUAUGCAUUAUGAGUUAUUGUGUGUUUUGAUCUAUGGCUUUGAGCCAAGUGGGGGAGUCUGCUAUUGAUUAGUUGAUUUCACGGUUAUGUGCUAUGUUGGUUCUAGUUUGAGGUGUACGGGUGAAUCAGUUAUGGCUUACGAAGGUUGAGACCGAGGAUGGCUUAAGUAAAAGAAAUUUCAAUAAAGGUUAUGUUAUGCUUUAUGGGUGUAUGAGAAUCAUGGAAUGACUUGAGUUGUUAUUGGUAGAGGAUGUACGGUGCAUAGAGCAGAAAGUUGCUUGGUUGUAUGUUACAUUCUGCGGUGUCGAAGUACUAAUGGAGCAUAGGUCAUCUAGUCCGUUUGAUCGGUCUAAUUGCGGUUUGAGUGGAGUGGAUGACUCUCGAGAAUGGUUCUAAUGAGUUCAAGAUUUUACAUGUAAUAAUUUGAGAUUUUCAAGUUGUAUAAUUGGCUAGAAACUGAGGUUUGCAUUGGACGGUAUCAAUACUCGUGGUAUUUCUUUAUCACUAGGGGAUUCUAUAUAGAAAUAUCAGGAAUGUGAAGGUAAUGUCUUUGGAUUCGCAGAAAGUAUAUUCGGGGUAGGCAUUUUGAAUGUUGUGCAUUUGGGAAUAUUUAAUAGAGUAUCCGACGGCUUAUGAGCCUUAGACGGUGUGGCUUUAUGCUUGGGUCUCGUGUGGUGAGUCUGGGUUGAGGAAUUUUGGUGUUAUAGCAUGAAGAAGAAUCAAGGUGAAGAUAAAUCAAAAGGAACUUGGAUAGAUGCGAUAGCUUGGUAGUAGGCCGGAUCAUAAUGGAAAGGAUAUGACUAUUUCUUUGGGUGCUUACGAGGUAAUGAGUUUCUACAGGUGUUUCGCAGCAAUGCUCUUGGGUUUUAGUGGCUUGCGUAGCUUGGUUGAGUUAGAAGGAUUCAGUCCUGACGGUUUAGUUUUGUGCGAAUGGAAUUUGGAGAGUUCUUGAUGGUUCCUACCGCGGUUAGAGAUGUAUAUUUUUUACUUGCGUGAGGAACAUGGGAUGUAUAGUGAUUUCUUCUAGAUGGGAUCAAUGGAAAGUUAUUGUAUAGUGAUUAUAUGGUAUGUGCGGUAUGUUGUGUAGGAUUGAGAUUUGCAUGUGUAAGGUCACGAUUCAAUUUUAAAAAGAAGGUCACAAUUCUUGGGUAGCAUGGACAGUUUCAGGUGACUAGAUAAAUGAGAUAACUAACUGGUAUGGCUUGAUGAGAGUAUGCAUUUUCAAAAAAAGAGCAAGUGUUUGAGUUGAGGAUACUUUAUUAGUAUUGCGGCACUCUCUUAUUGGAUCGACUGCUAAGAUUCGAGUUUUCUUGGUGGCGCGGAGGAAUUAUAGGAGUACCUCUUAUGAGAGAUUGGGUAUUAGAGGUGUGUUGUAUAUUCAGACGAUGGAGUUGGGAUCGGAUAUGGUCAUUCCAUGCUGUAUGGAUUUGGAGGCUGGGAGAUUCUCAUAAACAGGUUAGGUCUUGGUUGUAGACCGUGUAUAUCGGUCUUGUGUGGUAAUUAUUAGGGAUUUGGAGACCUGAGCGGAUCCUUGUUGCUUAGUAUGCCAGAUUUUGGUGUGAUUUUAGGUAUGGACUGGUUGUCUCCGUGUCGUGUUAUUCUGUGUUGUUGCGCUAAGGCGGCGACAUUGGCAAUGUCGGGGAUGCCACGGAUUGAGUGGAGAAGUUCGACGGAUUAUGCUUCCAGUAGUGUAUAUGGUGAAAUCAGGGGAACCGAUUUCUCGUUAAUAAGGCAUUUCGGGAGAUCACCUCGGAGACUCGAGACCACGGACCGAGUACCCCCACCUUGAGAUCUACCGACAUCCGGCCUGGAGUAAUGUUGGCCGAGACCCUAACAGGCAUGGGGAGUUUCCGAAGAAUGCAGUCGGGGCCGGUAAAGUCUAUCAGGUUAGUCUAAAGUUGGUCUGUGCCUACAUCAUGAAGCUAGUCAGUUGUCCCAUCCCUCUUUCUUUAUAAUUAAUGUAUCUUGUACUAUGUUGGAUUUUCCCCUCCUAUAUAAAGGGGAUCCUUGGCACUUUGUAAACUCUGUUGUUCCAUCCGCUUCACAAGAAAUAUAGAAGAACACUCUCUUUGCAUUAUCAUACACUCCCUCGAUAUUAUUAUUUUCAUUUAUCACAUUCAUACUUGUUCUUCAUUUAUUGCUUAUCAUUGGCCAUGUAGAGCAUCUUUUAAUUAUAUCCUAACUGUUAACCCUUUCCUGAUUAUCCCCGAUAGCUCGAGCUCGAGCUCAGGCAUCGACCUCGAGGCCCCUCAUCGGUCAGUCCGAGGUACGAAUAGCUAACCCCUAGGUUCGGUUAUAACUCUUCUUUAGCUCGCAUUUUAUCUUUUACCUCCACAUAUCUAGCAUCAACUGCUUAACAACUAGCAUAAAAAUAGAUCACGUAUUUUUAGAGUCGUAUCAACAAAUUUAAUUGUUAUUACCAUUUUCACGAUAAUUGUGAAGGUCGAACAUUAAGGUUGUAGGCUAGGGGAAGUUGUGANNNNNNNNNNNNNNNNNNNNNNNNNNNNNNNNNNNNNNNNNNNNNNNNNNNNNNNNNNNNNNNNNNNNNNNNNNNNNNNNNNNNNNNNNNNNNNNNNNNNNNNNNNNNNNNNNNNNNNNNNNNNNNNNNNNNNNNNNNNNNNNNNNNNNNNNGUUGUUGUUCUUGUUGUAUUUUCACGAUAAAUAGUUUGGCGCCCACCGUGAGGCUAAAAAUAAUAGUGAUUAUUUUCUUGCUAGUUUUGUUAAACAAUGCAAGUUAUCUUUCACACUUUUUAUUGUCCGAGAUCUUCUAUUUCAGGUCAAAAUGUCUGGCUUUGUAAACAGAGUUGAGAAUGACAACCUUGAAAAUCAUGGAGAAAAUGGUGUGAUUGUUCCCAUUGUUGGCGCGCCACCACAGAACCUCGAUAAUGCACCUGGACCGAUUCCAGCGGACGCGGGUUCGCAAGACGUACAGCAGGUCGACGAAACCUCACACACCGAUAGGAGCAUACAACAUGGCGACCAACGGGAAGACCAAAAAAACCUAGCUCGGGAAGAACGAGAAGUUAGCCUUCAUGUUAUUUUUGAAAUGUUGCAGGCACAACAACUGGAUAUCGCUCAGCUGCAAAGUUAUCCGAAGACUUCCUGCACGGUAGCACCGGGGACAAGUCACCCAGCCGAACAGGUACCUUGGACAUCGAGCAAUAACAGAUAGAUAGUCGACCCUGUCAUCGUAAAAAUGCUCGAAGACCUCACCAAAAGGAUCGAAUCGGGCGAGAAAAUGAUAGUAGCCAACGAUAAGAAGGUCUUGACCUACAACUCCAGGGUCGACCAGAUCCAGGGCGCAACCCUGGUCCUGAAAGUUGUGGAUUCGAAGAAGUUCAUACAAAGGUCGUUCCUCGAAGAAGCGGCCCCGAAAUCCAUUCCAAAGAAGUUCAGAAUUCUGGAACUCCCAAAGUACAACGGGACCUCAGACCCCAAUGAACACGUUACUGCCUACACUUGCGCGGUAAAGGGCAACGAUAUAAAUAACGAUGAGAUCGAGUCUGUAUUGCUGAAGAAGUUUGGGGAAACACUCUCAAAGUGGGCCAUGAUAUGGUAUCACAACUUGGCUCCAAACUCCAUAGAUUUGUUCGCCAUGCUAGCAGACUCCUUUGUAAAGGCACAUGACGGUGCCAUCAAAGUAGCGAUGAAGAAGUCCGACGUUUUCUAAAUUAAGCAAAGGGAGAACGAGAUGCUAUGGGAAUUCGUGUCUCGCUUUCAAAUGGAAGGGAUGGAGCUACCGCCAUUCUCCGAUGACUGGGCAGUGUAGGCUUUUACUCAAGGUCUGAAUGAACGAAGCUCGGUGGCUUCAAAACAGUUGAAACUGAAUUUGAUCGAGUAUCCAGCUAUGACCCGGUCGAACGUCCACAACCGGUACCAGUCAAAUAUUAGGGCCGAGGGUGACCAGUUGGGAGCCCCCUCGGGCUCAAUAUACCCAAGAAGGCUCCUGGCAAAGGAACCAAAACCAAACAAAGAAAGAUAUCAGCCGUACAUUGAAGAUAGGAGGAACACCCCGAGGCGCAACCCACCUCGUAAUGAUCGGAGAAUAGAUUGAGGACAGGAUCCUCGAGGACUCAUCAAUAGAGCUAGAUACGGUAGGAGCGCAGGGCCAACGGGUGCACCUCACUUAUCGGAGUACAACUUCAACAUCGAUGUAUCGGACAUCGUGUUCUCCAUCAGUAAUAUCAGAGACACCAAGUAGCCCAGGCCUAUGCAAUCGGAUCACUCACAAAGGAAUCACAACUUAGUGUGCGAGUUUCACAACACGCACAGCCACAGGACCGAGGAUUGCCACCAACACCGAGAAGAGGUAGCCUGACUACUUAACAAAGGGAAUCUCCGGGAAUUCCUUAGCGAUCAAGCCAAAAAUCAGUUCUGAGAAAGAGAGGCGACCAAGAAAAAUGAGGUAAACGAGCCACAACAUGCCAUCCACAUGAUCAUAAGAGGCGUCGAUGCCCCGCAGGAACCUGUAAUGAGAAGGACAAAAAUAUCCAUCACCAGAGAAAAGUGGACCGGGGGAUAUAUUCCUGAGGACGCCCUCACAUUCAGUGAAGAGGACACCGAGACCUUGUCUCAAACUCACAAUGAUGCACUAGUAAUCUUUUUCCUUGUAAAUUCUUUUCAAAUAAAACGUGUACUCGUGGAUCCAGGUAGCUCGGCCAACAUUAUCAGGUCGAGGGUGAUAGAGUAGCUCGGGCUGCUCGACCAAAUCGUGCCCGCCACUCAAGUCCUUAACGGAUUCAACAUGGCAAGUGAAAUAACGAAAGGAGAAAUCAUCCUCCCGGUCACGAUGGUCGGCAUUACCCAAAACGCCAAAUUCCAUGUCUCUGAAGGAGACAUGAGGUAUAACACCUUAUUAGGACGGUCGUGGAUACACUGCAUGAGAGCGGUACCAUCCACUCUUCACCAAAUGAUGAAAUUCCCAACAAAGGACGGAAUUAAAACCGUCUACAGGGAACAACAUGCGGCAAGGGAAAUGUUCGCGGUGCACGAUGUGGCACCGACGCUCGCACCUUCGCCCGCGAAAGAGCCAAAAGGUAAUCGAGCCACACCCUCGAUCAAGCCCGAUUAAAUUAAAUAAAGGACCAUAUCGUGUCCUCAUCUCGAGUGAUUGGAACAUAUCGAUUCUCAAAACAUCGACGGCGCAUCUCAUAUUAACGUACGACCAUCUCCCUUUUCAUUUCGUAUUUCAGACUAACCUUUAUGUAGGCACCCGAUCAAAGCGGUCAGAAUGCUAACCCAGCCCGAAGACCUUAAGGUUUUAUAGCAUCCAUUGCACUCUUUUCCUUCAACCGAGUUUUUAUCUCGAAAAAGGGUUUUACCAGCAAGGUUUUUAAUGAGGCAACAUCUGCAUGCUACCUAAGGGAAACUCAACAAAUGCUCGAGGAUUCUUUUGCAAUCAAACACGAACACUGGGGGGCAUUCCCCCACUCUACUACCCCCCCUCCCGUGAAGCCACCCGCUCGAAAAAACCAAGAAACGCCAAAAUGGGGUCCCUAUAGGAAAGUAAUGUACCUAGCCAAAUGGUCGAACGAACCAUGUCCAUAUAGUCGGGCCCCCGAUGGCGAAUACAUGUACACUUGUAUCAAAUAAUCAUAGAAUACCUUUUGUCAAGACAUCUCGCGCUCCAAAAGAGGCUCGGCACCUUUGCAAAAACAACUCCUCCGCCGGAAACAUCCCGAACACUCGGGGACUGGCAUCGACAAUUCAACACUUAAACGACCUCCGGGUCGGGACUCCUAAAUAGUAAGCCCUCAGAUAAGGCAAUGCAAAAAUCGCUAAACAUCUCCAGCUCCAAAAGUACCUCGAGUACUCGGGGACGAGCAUCGAAAUAUCAAAAGAAAAAUGCACGUCCUCAAGGUUGGGAUCUUCGAAAUUGUAAUCCCUCGAUGAGGCAAUACAAAGAUUCAAAAAAUGGCUCCUGUGUCAAGAAACUCUCGACGACUCGGGGACUGCCGUCAAAGCGCCACCUCCUUUGACUCAUCAAAACACGAGGCCAUAAGACCCCGAGCAGGCAGACUAGGUCUCGUAAGACCUACCUAAGGCAACAACUAAACGGUAAGACCUCAACGGCAUGAAAAAAAAACUGUAAGACCUCAACGGCAUGAAAAAACUGUAAGACCUCAAGCAACGCAUGAAUCACACUUGUACCAAGUGUCAACAAAACUAUAAGACCUUAACGGCAUGAAAAACUGUAAGACCUCAACGACAUAAAAAACUAUAAGACCUCAAGUAAGGCAUGAAUCACACUUGUACCAGGUGUCAACAAAUCUGUAAGACCUCAACGGGAUGAAAAAAACUGUAAGACCUCAAGCAAGGCAUGAAUCAUACUUGUACAAAUUAUCAACAAAACAGUAAGACCUCAAAAGGCAUGAAACUUUUGUAAGACCUUACUACAAGCAUAAACUCGAUCCCGAAGUUUAGGCUAUAUAUCAAAUUUGUAAGACCCCUAAAAAGGCAUGCCCUCGAUAUAGAUGCCUAACUACUACACUCGGGACCAAAAAUGGCUACAGCCAAACACAAAUGACUACAGUCAUACGGCGGUACCAGCCGAAUUAACGCGACUCGGGGAUGCCUGACUGUCGCUACAAAAUCAUAGGCCAUUACUUCGAAUCUACUUCGAAAAAAAUCGGUUAAACAUGCUACCCUCGAAAGGAAAAAGAUCUUCGACCAUAUUAGCACCAAACACAAGGCUUCUAGCUACUCAGCCUACGAGCCAAACAUUUCUAGGUGCUCGAACAUUGCCGCAAACGACUUGAAAUCGAGGUUCUUCUCGAACCAACAACAGGUCAAGCAAAAUCAUUUCAAAGAAGGUCCUUAACAAGAGGAAAACAAAGCCUACAUAUGCCUAAGGGCAAAGCGUAAGAACCAUUAUCGCCAGCCUAAUGAGACUCAGGACUAUACACACCAAAAGGUCGCAUCGACCAAAAGCGUAAGAGCCACUAUCGCCAGCUUAAAAUUUGAAAGCUUGAGGGUCGAAAUGAGCUCGAGUCGUAACCCGAUUCGGAGACCAGACCCAAAAUAGCUAACUAUACAUGCCUGAGGCCAAAGCGUAAGAGCCAUUAUCUCCAGCUUAAUAAGCCUCAGGGCUGUGCAUAUAAAAGGUCACAUUGACCGAGAGCGUAAGAGCCCCCAAGCCUGCCUAAUAAGACCUAGGGCCAUAUCAUGAAUCUAAGGAUUCUCACCAACUCUGAAACCAGUCCACCUGGUCAGAAGGGAAGCAGAAAGGGUUACUAAAGAGAUAAAGCAGCAAGUUUUCUUUUAUUUACAUACAUGAAAAAGUGCACGCUCCAUCUACAAACAUGCUCUGAGGACAUCACAUAGAAAAUGGCAAAGUCUAUGCCCCACCCCUAAGGUCUACGGCCUAUCAUCCUCAUCUUCACUCUCCUCGAUGUCGGACAGGAGUGACCAAGCACCACGUUCGUCCGCCCUCGCUCGUGCCAAGUUUUCCGGGAGAACAAAACCCCUGGCAUCGAUCUCCUCGAGAACCUUUUUUCGGGAUCUGCAACGAGCAUAUUCUUUGAUCCUCUCUUCACAAUCGAGGAUCCUCUUCAAAUCGGCUUGGGCAUCGGUAGCAUACUUCAAAUAAAUCGCCAUCUCCUAAUCAGCCUUAGUGCGGCUCAGUGCUGCUUCGGUUUAAGCAUCAACGACCUCAGCCUUGACUUUUGAAAGCUCAGACUCGAGCUUUAAAAUCAUUUCUGUUUGAACCAAAGCAUUGUCGCGAGCUAGGCGAAGUUAGGCUUCAAAAGCAGGAACUUUGGCUGGAGAUCCCUUCCCCCUAAAGCCUGAGCCUCCGCCCGAGCUUUCAACUCAUCACACUCAUACCUGGCCCGGCCAACUUCAUCUCGAAGGCGUUCUAGGGCCUCCGUCUUUUUCUACAACUAAAAUAAACUAAGUAUUAGCCCCAGGAUCCAGAAGGCGGAAUGCACACUCAUCCGGGAUAGAAAACUACCUACUCUUUCAGGUGGUUUUCAUAGUUUAAGUUCUGACUCGCCUCAUACUACAAAAUGCACCAACUCGACCUUUUUAUCACCACAAAGGAGCCUUAGGGAUCUCUCCUCAUCCAGAGCUUUCCAUAGCAUGGCUUCACAGCGAAGCACCCCAGACUCGAGCUUGUCGGAUGCCUGCAAAAGAAAACUCAUUAAGGAAGAGAGGAAGGCGCAAUUACAAAACCAGCUUUCUCCAUAGAAAGAAUUGAUAAAGCACGAGAUGCACCACUUACAAGCAUAGCUCCAUUCCUCAGUGAAUGGCAUGAGCUCCUCGGGUAUAAUGUCAACGGUCCGCACGUGGACGAAGAGACUCAUCCAUACCCGGUCUUUGUUUUCCUUGAUGUCAACAAUGAAGGGCUUAGUCAAUCGACACCACAAAGUUAACAGAUCUUGAUGGUCCUGAGGACCGGAGGCGGAGCUCUCCCCUCCCUGUCGGACAAACCCCGAUAUAGCCGCCGUGGCGGUCACAAAAUUAGAGAACUAAAAAUCAAGAAUAUGUGCAGACGCAUUUGUGCUGGAGUGCCAAAAGGCUGGCGCAGAAAGAGAAGGACAUCUGCUUAAAAUUGGGUAACCCCCGAAAAGGUAGAAACAACCCUAUUUAUAUAUGGAAAAAAUGGCGAUGAUUCGCCUGCCUCGAAGCCGGUUAAGAACACUAACCGAUAAUACCCUCUCCAGUCCAAAGGUGGUAUCCGACCUAGAGGACCUCCAUCAAGACAAGGCUAGGCUCCAGGAAGCCGAUGACACCUUCGCCAACACCGAGGUGGUACCCGACCUCGAGGAUCUCCAUCAAAGGGAAGUUUAGGCUCCAGGAAGCCAAUAGCAUCAUGACGAGACCCGAGGUGAUACUCGACCUUAGGGAUUUUUUGUCAAAAGGAAAUCAAGCUCCAAGAAAAUAAGCAUUUAAACUCCACCCGUAUGGGCUUGGCCCCGGGUACCAUCCAAGAUCGGACAAACCUCCUUUCAAAAUCUACCUGCAGCUCCAUAAGGCUAUUAGUGCUAAACCCAGAGCGCGUUUUCGGUUGGUUCGAAUUUUAAUGAAUCUUUGCUCGGGGACUACCCUCAAGAGAUCAAAGGCAGCCCCCGUUCACGGGCCCCCAGAGAAAAUUUCUUCUCAAAGGUUACCACGGAGUGUAACUAGUAAGUCAUGAUUCUAAGGCCCAAAACGUUAUUCUCAUUGUACUCGAAGUCAAGGUCCCGACGACCCGAGUCUAUGGACCCUAUUCAGGUUCGAUCCAAGGGAUCACAAAGGAUUCCGUGCGAAGCCAUUGUUAUCAACCAAAGGCCGGAAGGAAUACUCCCAUCUAGGUUCGGUAUUAGCAACAAUAGACAGAGCCAUUCAUGAGUCUCCACAAACAUAAAAGAAUGCAGCAAGCAUCGAAGACAAAUCGGGAAAAAAUCUUAGUAUUCAUGAAACAUUCUAUUAAAAAAGCCCACGAGGGGUCCUUACAUAUGAUUACAAAAGCUCACGUGGGGUCCUUAUACGGGAACAAAGAAUUAGAAGGGUGUACACGGAAUAAAACCCUAAGAACCUAGCCUAUUCUUAAAGGUGUGCCCUCAAUAGCAACAUUUUCAAUAUCAUCUCCUCAAGCACGCAUCCUCAAAGACAAUAUCUUCCAAGCACGAUCCCCUCGGGAGUCUUAUCUCGAUUCCCCAAAAUGGCAUCUUCAAAAGGAGAGACGAUGAAGGAGAAAGUGAUGGAGAAGAGAAAAGUGACAUGGAAAAGGCAUGCAGGAAUGAAGAAGUGGUUGGGUGAAAGAUCUGGCUAGUAUGGAUUUCGCCAGGCUAUUACUGUAAAGCCACUUCUUGAGAUGUUUCCCCGACAAGGGUGGCAACAGUUAGUAAACAGCGCCUCCACACCCUAAGGAAUCCAAAAAGGGUGUAAUACGCCAAGCCGGGGCAGGAGGGUGAGUAGGGGUGUAUAAUCCAAGCCCCCUCUCGAGAAGCAGUGUGUAAUCCAUAUAUUUCCUUGGGCCAAAGGAAAUUGGCCCUUUGCUUCAUUGUCCUGAGCCAACAGACAACAACAACAACAACAAUAACAACAACAUAAAAGCAGCAUCAUCUCGCUCGACCAGAGAAGGUCCGGGAGAUAGGCCGUAGUAUACCUGAAAUCGCCAUAACAUCUUGAGGCCAUGGGCCCCAAACAUGGUGAACGACAAAGAAUAAAGAUAGCGAGAAAGGAGGAAUGGAUAGGUAUGGAAAGAUACUUGGGUAAAAGGGAGAUCCCAGGAUAUCCCUAUUUAUAGAAAGGGGGGUAACAUAACCGAUGGUGCUAUUAUCGCCCUAAAAAACAUAAUGAUAGGCACAUUCAAUGCGUCCAUGAGAGCUGAAUUGAUGGCGACAUUAUGGCUCUGAAGAAUGGGAAAUCGGAACGCGUUGAAUGGUCCUAGAAAAGCAAAAUGACGAAACAUUUCGGCAAUCAUGGAGGCAUGCGUCAUCAGCACGAUGUCAUUACAGGAAACCUGAAGAGUGGGGAUGUCAAAAUCGUUUCUUGUCGCUCCUCUCUAAGGAACGGGGGGACUAUCUGUAUACGGUGAAAUUGGGGGAACCAAUUUCUCGUUAAUAAGGCAUUUCGAGAGAUCACCUCGGAGACUCGAGACCACGGACCGAGUACCCCCACCUUGAGAUCUACAUACAUCCGACCUAGAGAUAAUGUUGGUCGAGACCCCAACGGGCAUGAGAAUUUCUGAAGAAUGCAGCUAGGGCCAGUUAAGUCUAUCAAGCUAGUCUAAAGCUGGUCUGCACCUACAUGAAGCUAGUCAACUGUCCCAUCCUGCUUUCUUUAUCAUUAAUGUAUCUUGACUAUGUUGGAUUUGCCCCUCCUAUAUAAGGGGGAUCCUUGGCAUUUUGUAAAUUCUGUUGUUCCAUCCGCUUCACAACAAAUAUAGAAGAACACUCUCUUUGCUUUCUCAUACACUCCCUCGAUAUUAUUACUUUCAUUUAUUACGUUCAUACUUGUUCUUCAUUUAUUGCUUAUCAUUGGUCAUGUAGAGCCCCCUUUAUUUAUAUCCUAACUCUUAACCCUUUCCCGAUUAUCCCCAAUAGCUUGAGCCCGAGCUCAGGCAUCGACCUCGAGGCCCCUCAUCGGUCAGUCCGAGGCCCGAAUAGCUAACCCCUCAGUUUGGUUAUAAUUUUACUUUAGCUCGCAUUUUAUCUUUUACCUCCACAUAUCUAGCAUCAACUACUUAACAAUACGCAUAAAAAUAGAUCACGUAUUUUUAGAGUCCCAUCAACAAAUUUAAUUGUUAUUACUAUUUUUAUGGUAAACAAGUAGGGUGAUUUCAUUUUUGAAGACCCAGCGGAUGGUUGGGAAGGGUUGUCUUCCUUAUUUGGACUUCGUGAUGGAUUCCAGUGCAGAGACUUCUACCAUUGACUCAGUUCCGGUGGUGAGGGAUUUUUUGAAUGUGUUUCUUACUGCCGGGCAUGUCGCCGGACAGGGUUGUUGAUUUCUGUAUUGAUUUGGUGUCAGGCAUCGUAUCGUAUGGCAACGGCAGAGUUAAAGGAGUUGAAGGAGCAGCUUUAGAAACUCCUUGACAAGGGGUUCAUUGGUAGGGCAAUAUGGAUGUGUGUUCUAACUCGAGCCGGCUUGGUUGACUCCGAGUUGCAUUGUUGAGGGAUGUGUUGAUUCGAUUGUUAUUGAGCUUAUUAGUGAUCUAGAGAGAUAUGUGAGUUACCAUUCCAUAUUUCAAGGCAUUAGAAUUUGCUAGUUAUAGGCACAUGUGGUGCGGUUUUAUUUGGGUCUCUCAGUGGAAUUAGAGCGGGAGGAGUAUUGGGUAUUGCUUGGUGGCUGGUGUAUUGGUUGUUCCUUUUGGGUUUGUGUAAUGUUAUUUCAAUUUCUUCGUCAUGGUUAUGAUUAUUUGCUUUGGUUCUAGACAUCAAAUUGCGUGUGGUUGUCGAUUUUGAGCAUAGUGACUUGAGGUGUUUCAUGUGACAAGUGUUUGGAUAGGGUCACGCAUUGCAGCGAAGUUAUGUGGAGGUAUGACCAUUCGGGUUGGAUUUGUGUAUUAUGUUUCUAUGAUGUGUGACGGGUUCUCUGCAUUGUGUGUGGUGGUACUGGCGAGCUUGCGGUACCGCUCUCUUAUUUGAGACAUUUUCAUGAUUUGAGUAUGUUCGGAUUGUUGCUAGUUGGUGCGCGGAUUGUACGAGUUGUGGCUUUAGAUUGUAUUGAUGUGUCAUAUCACCAGAGUAGUUUUGUUGGAUUAUAUGAGAUUGUUGGGAUCCAUAAUGAAUACUGUCACACCUUUUUUUUACUACCCCCGGAAGGGUAUAAUGGAGUUUUUUCAAAUUUAAGUGGCAAUCGAAACAGGAUUAUUUAUUUAAAAUUCAGAGUCGCCACUUGGAAUAAUUUAUGGUGUCCCAAGUCACCAAUUUUAAAUCCUGAGUCAAUGAAAGAUUGAAUCUGUUUUAUAGUCCGCGAACACAGAUAUCCGGGUAAGGAAUUUUGUUAACCCGGGAGAAGGUGUUAGGCAUUCCCGAGUUCCGUGGUUCUAGCACGGUUGCUCAACUAUUAUUAUUGGCCUAAUUAUCUAAUUUUAAAAUACUUUUACACCUAUGUGCAUUUUUAACUUCCCAACCGCUUUAAAUUAUUAAAGGAAUUAUUUCAAAGUUAUUUAAAACACAUCGUAAUCCACGUUGCAUGAAAUGCACCCGUGGUUCACGACACGUUCUAUUUAAACUUGUUGGAGAUUAGAAUCGGGUCACAUGAAAUGUACACCCAGGUUUUAAUAAUUGCAUAUCACAGCUACGUCACGGGUGCCGUACCCGUAGCCAUGAUAAUUGUUUAACUAACGCGCCUAAAGAAAACUACGAAAUUCAUGAUUUUAUAUUUAGGUUAGGAAAUUAACACGAGGGCCAUGAGCGAUUUAAUUAUGGAUGGCACACCUCAAUCAAUUUCCUCCCUUCCUCAACCUUCCCCUCUUUACUCAACCCUGUGACAAUAAUACAAGUGCUAAAAUUAUCCAAAAAUUUAUUCUCAACACAACCAUCACUUCUCUUAACGAGUUCAUCAUACAGUCGCCUAGCUGUAUUAAUCUUACCAUCUUUUACAAGACCAUAAAGUAAACAAUUAACAGAAACUACAUGUGGAACGAAAUUGUAAGUUUUGAACACAAUGUAAUACAAUUCAACAGCUUUAUCAACCAAAUUGGAAUCAGAGUAAGCUAUCAAUAAGCACCUUGGCUGCUUAAAUUUGAUAUUUAGACAUCAUCAACUAUCUAAUUCCCCGAGAUCUUAAAUGGCGCUUCAUCAAUUUAUUUCAUAACAAACAAGACUAGAGGAGAGAGAUAGAAAUGGACCUCGAUAAAAAAAGCUUCUUCAAUACGAUUCUGUCCAAAAUAGUACAAUGAACGCCAAAAAAACUUUAAUGAAGUCAGCUACCAAAGAAACAGAAUCCACGACCUCAGAGCCCAGAUUGAACCUCGGACGGUGAUCUCAAAUCAAGACUGAAAAUCAAACUUGAACCUCAAAUAAACUCCCAUUUUUAAAAAUCAAAAUUGAAAGAUGAGAUUGAAACUAUUUUUGUACAUAUUUUCUGGAACAUAAAUCCUAGCCAAUUCAAGACAGAAACAUCAUUUUUUUCUUUAAAAAUAUGAACGAAAUAGAUGGUCGCUGAUCUCUCACUCUACUUCAGCUGGUUUCUGGCGAGUUGGAGAAGUGCUGGCGGAGAUCGACCUGGUUGUUGCUCCAAGUUCAGGGGUUGCUGGUUCAUUGUUAAUGGGAAGAAGCAGAGGCAGCGAUGGCUAUGGUGUUCGCCGGUUCUCUGUUCAUCGGCGACUGUGCGUGUGUGUCGACGGCUGAGGGUUCCCUGUUGUUGAAGAAGAAGAGAAUGGGUGGGGGUUCUGAUUUGCUAAUGUUGAAGAAAAUGAAAAAGCUACACAGGGGGGGGUCCUAUGUAUUGCGACUGAUAGCAACCUUAGGGUCUUAGGUCUCUAGGUUUAUUUAUCUUGUUGUCUUUCGCUAAUAGUCUUUUUU